AUUGAACGCUGGCGGCAGGCCUAACACAUGCAAGUCGAGCGGAUGAAGGGAGCUUGCUCCUGGAUUCAGCGGCGGACGGGUGAGUAAUGCCUAGGAAUCUGCCUGGUAGUGGGGGAUAACGUCCGGAAACGGGCGCUAAUACCGCAUCCGUCCUGAGGGAGAAAGUGGGGGAUCUUCGGACCUCACGCUAUCAGCUGAGCCUAGGUCGGAUUAGCUAGUUGGUGGGGUAAAGGCCUACCAAGGCGACGAUCCGUAACUGGUCUGAGAGGAUGAUCAGUCACACUGGAACUGAGACACGGUCCAGGCUCCUACGGGAGGCAGCAGUGGGGAAUAUUGGACAAUGGGCGAAAGCCUGAUCCAGCCAUGCCGCGUGUGUGAAGAAGGUCUUCGGAUUGUAAAGCACUUUAAGUUGGGAGGAAGGGCAGUAAGUUAAUACCUGGCUGUUUUGACGGUACCAACAGAAUAAGCACCGGCUAACUUCGUG
This 484-nucleotide ribosomal RNA is filed under the name uncultured bacterium. RNAcentral describes it as "partial 16S ribosomal RNA". It matches the Rfam family "Bacterial small subunit ribosomal RNA", at positions 30 to 507 of the family's 1533-position model. The record is from RNAcentral.